AUUAGCAAACGAAGCUUUGCUGUUUGUUGCUGUUUGUUGACUGCACAAAACAGCGAAGACAAUAUUGUCUCUGCAAGAGGGUCGUGUGAUCAGUCAUUAAACGGCUGCGACGGUGUUGAGUUCGACCUCGGGAGUCGCGCUUUAAGCUUUGUUAUAAUAACUGGGCUCUUAGUAAACACUGCGAACUGUGCUUAGUGAAUGUGUUUUUUUUGUGUUUCUGUGCCGUUCUCGCUGUGAGUACUGAUUUGUAGUAAAUUAACGGAACUGCCCUUAAUAUCGCAAUAAUUUUAAGGUAAAAAAAUGUACUAAAAUUGUGAAUAUCUAAGGAAGUUGAAGAAUUAAUUAUAAUUAAAUAAUUACAAAAAAAAAAAAAAUACAAAAGUUGUUUUGUUAAUUAUAUACAAACACACAUUUCUAAUUGACCAAUGACGAAAACUUCAACAACAAGAGCAACAACAACAACAAUAACAACAGCAGCAGCAGCA
Teleopsis dalmanni is the source of this 485-nucleotide long non-coding RNA. RefSeq lists it as uncharacterized. The record is from RefSeq and is a predicted model, not a curated record. The transcript is spliced from 2 exons. NCBI's taxonomy places the organism in Eukaryota, Metazoa, Arthropoda, Insecta, Diptera, Diopsidae.